GGGUUCCGGGGGCAUCGGGAUGGGGGGGUAGCCGCGCGGCGGUUUGAACGCCGAAAAAUGGGCAUGUUCGGGGUGCGCUCAGUAGGUUUAGACGGUUUUCGGCGUAUCUCAUGAUCCGAGCAUCCGAUUCCGUUUCCGUCAGGUCCCACGGGACCAGGGGUCCGGGGGCAUCGGGAUGGGGGGGUAGCCGUGCGGCGGUUUGAACGCCGAAAAAUGGGCAUGAUCGGGGCGGUUUGGCCGGUUUGGCCGGUUUCGGCCCGCCGGGGGGCGGUUCAUGCCCCGGGGGGGACCGCGGGGCGGGAUCGGGAGGCGGCGGACGCGUUC
Molecule: long non-coding RNA, 324 nt
Filed under: Citrus x clementina
Lineage: Eukaryota; Viridiplantae; Streptophyta; Magnoliopsida; Sapindales; Rutaceae
Description: Citrus clementina (C. clementina) long non-coding RNA (CCLE_LNC003775)
Source: RNAcentral